Molecule: long non-coding RNA, 2357 nt
Organism: Myotis brandtii (Brandt's bat)
Lineage: Eukaryota; Metazoa; Chordata; Mammalia; Chiroptera; Vespertilionidae
Exons: 3
Source: RefSeq, a predicted model, not a curated record
GGCCGUUGCUAUUAGGAAUUCAAGUCCUGCUCCCCUCACUGGAAGUGAUAAUAGCAGCGGCCAACUGGUCACCCCCACCCACCAGAGCCUCCCACCCGUCCAUGGACCAACUGGCCAGGGCCAUGGCCUCCUCCUCCUCUCCUGGGCUGCCAAGCGCCCUGUCCACUCGCCCGUGAUCCUGUCAGCAGCUGGAUUCGAUGUGAAAUCCAAUCAGCAGAAGAUGAAGACAAGAAAAACGAAUGCCCCUUCUCUCCCUUACCCAGCAUGGCAGGGGGGCCUCUAUCCAUGGGAAGGGGCAGGACGGGCUCUGUCUACUUGCCCCAGCCUCCACCCUUCUCUCCUCUCCUUAGCCUGAGGGAAGAGGUGUAUACCAGGCCAGGUAACCCUUGGCCAGGUGGGCUUGGACUCCUGCCCGCUCCCCGCCUCCCCUCCACCCCCAGGCCCUGAGGCCCAGGCGUUCCCUCGGAAGCAACGAGGCCAAGGUAGCUCUGUUCCAACUGCCCACCCCCGAGGGCUCUGUGCUACAUACUGUGUUCCCACUGCGGGUUUGUCUGAAGGAAGACUUGCCAUUGUCAAGUACGAAGAUCAUUCAUCCGGUUCUGCCUCCUUAGGAACUUGAGACCAGAGAAAUGAAAUGAUUUGCCGGGUCGCAGACUCCCCUUCCCCCCCUCCCCGCCGACUCCCAGCCUUCAAGUCAGCGAGCAGACAGCCCAUUUAGAACCCGCGUUUGGAAUUCCGUGUACAUGAGUCAACGUCUUAGGGGAUUGUUUGCUUAUCAUAUUCUCCAGAACGAAAGAGAUCGUUCCUUCCCCUUUGCAGACAUGUGUGUUCUCUGGACCUGGGAAGGGAGAAAUCUUAGGCACUCGCCCUGUCACGUCGGGGACAUUAGCCAGGGAAGCCCUGUCUGUCUGGAAGGACGCGGGGUCGUUCUGCAAACAGAACCUGCUCUGCCCUCUUGGCCCGUAGGUUGGUGCGUAGCACCCUCUGCUCUGUUUCCUGCCAACUUUUGUUUCCUGCAGAUUCCUCGGUGUGACACUGUUUGUAUUAUAACCGCCUUGCCCGUGACCCCAGGAGGGUUUUUUUUAAAUUUUACUUUAUUAGAGGGAAAUGCAAAGUCGCAGGCAAGCUCGUUAAUGUAUUGUUCACACGCAAUGGUAAAUUACUGCCAUUCCUUCCCGUGUACGGAUCAUACAUCACGGCACGGAUCAUAUCACGGCACGGUGAUUACAGGGAAAUGACUGCCUGCGUGUCACCGGCGUGUCGCAGGGACCACCGUGCCUCAUUCUCUCUCUCUCUCUCUCUUACAAGAAGUAAUUGCCACUGUGGCUUCUCCAUCUUCUCGCUCACGCAUCACUCUUGUCCUCGAGGGUAGACUGUGCCUUGGCAUCAAGCAGCGCCCUUAUAUUUUUUCUAGGUUGAAUCUAGAGACGCUGAUCUUUCUGUGCUAAGCCAGGAGGUCUUGUUCCUGUUUUUCAAGCGGAACCAAGUUUUCAGGCUUCCCUGCUAUUUCUCUCCCGGCUCCUUUUUCCUUGGAUUUUAUGAGCCCUGACCUGGAGGGUGGCCCUGAACUCCGCCCCCCUCACCCCUGUCGUGUCCCCUGUCCACGGGCCUUCGCCCCUGGGCAGGUCCUCUCCGCACCUCGCCUUCCUUUUGCCUCACUGGGAACACGUGACCAUCAGCCCUCCAGCUCUCUGGUGUCUUAGAAGUAGUAUGUUUUUUGCCUCAGUCACAUGCAGGGACUUACACUGACGUUGAAGGAAGAAGAGAGGGGAUUCUUCUUCCCACCGAAGGGAGCAAAGGUGGCAGAAUUCUGGAAUGGUGUCUCCCACCAAAUUAAGAAAUGAGGACACCCCUUCCCCCACCACACACUCACCUUCAGAGAAGGGAUCCCCCAGGUUCCAGCCGGCUGCCCCCAGCCCUCCAUCCCUGGCUGUCAACAGGCAGACAGCCUGUUGGGGGGCCUCCAUCGGCCCCGGGGGCACAGUGGAUCUGGGCUCAGGUGCCAGCUCUCAUGUCUUCAUGGAACCAUCUCUUGGGGGCCAGGCUUAGGGAUGGGUUGACUCAUGAGUCGGUGAAUAAAUCUAAAGAUGGAAAACACCUCUGUUCCUUUCGGUAAGCAUUUUGCCCACAAGUAUCUUAGUCUUAUUUACUAGGUUGUCUGGCACCUAACAGCCUGCAUGAGGAGUAGAGUAGCUCCAUGCUAUCUAUUAAGCAGGCACACUCUUUGCCAUGUAAAGCGAACCUCCCUUUGACAAGGUGCCUUAUAAGACCGGGUGAGAGCAGCGGGCGCUCAGAAGGGACCGUCCCUGGCACGACGCGCCAGCCCGGUGGCGGACGGGCCAGCGCAUCUCUCGGGA